GUCCCACUUCAUCACAGGGUGCAUCUCUCAAACCCCAGCUGCCAGAGCCCUGGGAUUUGUUGAAACCAUCCUACAUCAAAGGACGGAGGAGCAUGCAGGUCCAGCCAUGCCAGUGAGGACUCAUAGGGCAUGAGGUGAAGCCCAGCAUUCCUGAGCAGCAGUAAUGUCAGGGGACAAAGGACUCAGUCUUACUCCUUUGACUUAGUUCCUGAUGACUUCAUUUUGGGGUCACCGAGGUAGGAGUGAUUAAACAAGGAAUCCAGCGAGGCUGUCUGUGCAAGGAAUGAGUUUCCCUCAGUGAUAGGUUCCAGGGUAUGGAUGCUUCCCCACCGCCCUGGAGAUAAUUUCACAAGACAACAAAUCUGCUCAGGGCCCUGCAAGAAGUGUUGCAGUGGGCGAGUGUUCACCCCGGACCUGGCUGAGAUCAUAGGUGAAAUGAGGUAGGUGGCUCCACCUUGUCACCAGAAGACGUCCCUCCAAAGUCCAACAUUGGCCCUGAGCAUCCUGGAUGGGAUCUGGACCCCAGUGAUAUCUCUGGCAAAGCUCCCACUGGCUUCCGAGGGGGCAGGAUUCCCCCCAUGGCUUGUCCACACUAGAUGUGAUGUUUCCAUUCUGCACGCAGCCAAGGCUCGAGAACCUGUGGUUGCUCCUAGGGGCAUUUCAGGGUGAUGGCUUGGACUCCUAAAGCAACCAGAGCUUUGAUCACUUCGUACAUUAGUUGGAUACCAUAAAAGCCAAGAUCAGCUUAACCCUGCCCUUCCCCCCUUGCUUCUCCCCGCCCUGUUCAUUCCCCAUGCACUUUAAUGCUCACUGGUCACUCCGUCAUGCCCGCUAGUUUCUGUCAUGACUGAGGUAGGGCGUCCCCCUUCCUGGUGACUGCUGCUGGUCUCCUGUGGCCAUGCCCUGCUCUUUCCCGCUGCUGGCGCACUGUCUGGGAGACUCUGCAUGGAGACUUCGGGUGUGGCAAACUGGGUGUAUCUCUGCAGCGCACCAGCCUGCUACGCACUAAGCGUCCGUGUGGACCUUGCUAGCGCGUGCUAACCGUGCGGGGGUGCACAUGGCCAUACUCGCAUUCCAAGCAGCAGUAGGUCUGUGCACGCCAGGGACCUGUGAGUACGUGGCAGCAGGCUCCACGUGGACAGAGCAUGCGUGGCAGGCUGGAGGUGCUGAAGAUGCACACCUGGGCUUGCUGUGCACCACGUCUCCGUGUGGACAAGCCCAAAGUCAGUGUCUUGGGUGUGACGCAGCGUGGGCAACCUUAACGUGGGCAUUUCCUGGCUCAAACCGUGCAACUGGAGGCUGAGAGGUCCAAAAAUAAGAGCCUAACUCGGAAGUCAGUGGCCCAAUUGUGAAAAGAACUGAGCAACUACCAGUUCCCAUUGGCUUCAGUGGGAGCUCAGCACGUCUGGAAGGGAGAUGACUGACGUAGAAGCAGAAGAAAUGAGGUGGUAUUACGUAGCAGACAGCGGUUGGUUAGACCAUUACUGGAGCCUGGGUCCAGCUCUGGUGUCUGCCCUCUGACACAGACGGUGAAAACUUGGAGAGGGUACUGAAAAGAGCCACAAGAACGAUUUGUGGGCCAGAAACCUGGAUUUUACCCCAUUGGAGCCGCUGGGAGCUCAGCGCUUUGAAAAGUGAGGCCACGUUAUUUAGGUAUCGAAACAGAAACAAAGGCAACCGGUUUUGAGACUCAUCCCCUGGUGUCCAAUAGCAAUACAUACAUACAUCUAUAUCUAUAGAGAAAGAAGAAGAGACCUCAGUUUGCUGCUGGCGCCUUGUGUGCGCGUUUAUGAAGCUUCCCGAUUAAAGUAGUUUAUGACUCUGAUAAAAGCCCAUUAACGGACUGAAAAGUGGAGAAUGCCAUAAAACCCAGGCAGAAAGAUUCCCUGGGUCUGCCUGUUACGUUGGCACAGAGGGCAGCAGCCACGCUCGUCUGUCACCGCGGUGCCUGGCUUGUCUCUUCCAGGUUUCACCACAGCCAGCGAACUUGCUCUGGGCUCGCAGGGCUAAUAGAGCUGGAUUGUGCACUGUCAUGUCUCACUUUGUCACAGCUGACAGAUAUCAAAUGAGCUACCCCCAGCAUUAUCCCCGCCGUUGACACAAGAGCUGCGUGCACCAGGCCAGUGAGGUGUAGCCAGACUAGGAUACCCUUCUCCAUUUAAUAGCUGUCUGCCUGUAGGUCAGCCAGGGGUUAUUUGUCACACAAACCAGGAAUGCUCACACUCCAGAACUAGCCAGAGAUUUGGAUAGAUAUCGGUUAUCUGCAUGGGAAGAAGCAAAUGUAAAGAAGAGAAAUUGUCCUGACUUGGCAGUUUUAUGGGCAUCUGAGCACACGAGCUUGGCCGGGGGCUGGGCUGACUGAGCGUUUCGCUAAAAGCAGACAUUCCCCUCCUCCACCCUAGGCAGCCUUCACUCCAGUGCAGCCCCCUGCUGACUCCCUGCGUCUCCUUGGCCCGCUAAGGUCUGUAGGCGCCUGACUUCUGCUGAAAUCCAUGACAGUUAGGAGCCUUUGUGGAUCCGGGCCUUCAUGUCUCUGUGCCUCAGAUCCCAUCUGUGCCAUGCAGAUAACAGGCCUACCCUGCCUGAUGGGUGUGUGAGGAAAAACACAUUAAAUACGGCAAGGUGCUCAGAGAGAAAGAGAUCCCUCCCUACCCUCUCUACCUGUCUGGCUUUCAUGUUGUCAGGGCACACUGACAUUUGUGCCCAGCCAGCCAGGCACACAGGCUUGACAGGCUGGGAUGGUUUCAGUUCCUUACCCCUGAGUUUCAGUCAUCAAGGAAAUACUAACCGGGAUUUGGUGUUUACUGGAUGGACAAGCAUGGGAGAGGCCAAUCAAUUUCACGGUGGCCUGGAGCGAAAUUGCUGGAUAAGCCGAUGAGGAAUGGGCACCGCUGUGACCUUUCAUAUCUGGCAGUAGCAGAGAACAGAACAUGCUCACCUCUCCACCUGGUUGGAAAUUGAUUAAAAAGCCACAGGUCUUUGUUAGA
Long non-coding RNA from Mauremys reevesii (Reeves's turtle), 2987 nucleotides. RefSeq lists it as uncharacterized. Lineage: Eukaryota; Metazoa; Chordata; Testudines; Geoemydidae. The transcript has 2 exons. The record is from RefSeq and is a predicted model, not a curated record.